AAAAACCGUCACGAGGUCCCCGACAUUCAAAUGCGACUCGUUCGAUGAUAAAAUAAUAUGUACUCAGAUGUAAUAUUAUUAUUGCGAUACGAGGACGAGACGAUUCGACGGGGAAGUAAAAACAAACUGCACACAAAUUACAACGAUAAAAUAACGAGAGUCUCAGCUGUCAACGGUUAUGUCGUUGUCUACCUUGCGUUUGCCCGCGAGUAGAUAAUACGCACGUGGUUUGUUUUGUAACGGAAAGAUAGAGGGUUUGAGAUACGAAAAGAACUAAAAAAAAAAAAAAAACCGAGUCAUCGAGACGCUCCGCGUGACAAUCGAUUUGCGCGCACAAUGUGCAGUGCGUAUACCUACGCGGAAAUCAAUCAACGACACACGUAAGGCGAAUUAAACGAUUUGCGCAGUGUGCGGAGAAUUUAAUGUUAUAGUAGUGUCUAUGUUGUCUUGUCUGCCUGAAAAUUAAAUUCCGCACCGAUUCGUAUUAAAGCAGUUCGGUAUUAUACCGUUUUUACGUAAUGUGUACGUUUUAAUCGCAAAACGUCUUGCAGUUGUUUCGGGAGAGCUGACAAUUUUAUUUUUAUUUUUUUUUUUUUGUUUUAUUUUUCUUUCAUUUCCUCGAUAUUACACGAGCACAUAAACACACACACAUACAUCCUAUAAAAUAUGUUAUAUAUUCUUAUACAUAUAUAUAUAUAUAUAUAUACAAUAUAUUCACUAUUAUACCUAUACACAUUAUAAUAUUAUAUAUGCCUAUAUAUAUAUACGUUAAGUAUUUUUCUACGUUCUCUUACGAAUUUUCUAUAAUGUACAAUAUAAUAUUAUAUAAUAUACUAUGUUAUAUUAUGCAGUGGACUCGUAACGUGUUAAUUAUUAAAUCCGCGCGAUUGUUUUAUAAUCCGUGGAUGCAGAUAGAUAUGUUACAAUAAUUUAUGUAAAAAAAAAAAAAAAAAAACACUUUAAUGAUUAUUAUUAUUAUUAUUGUAUACCUAUACCGAA
Molecule: non-coding RNA, 999 nt
Organism: Cinara cedri
Lineage: Eukaryota; Metazoa; Arthropoda; Insecta; Hemiptera; Aphididae
Source: the annotation of a GenBank genome assembly